This is a long non-coding RNA of Coturnix japonica (Japanese quail), 1200 nucleotides long. Lineage: Eukaryota; Metazoa; Chordata; Aves; Galliformes; Phasianidae. The record is from Ensembl.
CGGGUUAUUCCGACCCACUCCGGGUUAUUCCGACCCACUCCGGGUUGUUCCGACCCACUCCGGGUUGGUCCCGGCGGCUUCGGAUGGUUCCGACCCACUUCGGGUUAUUCCGACCCACUUCGGGUUAUUCCGACCCACUUCGGGUUAUUCCGACCCACUUCGGCUGGUUCCGACCCACUUCGGGUUAUUCCGACCCACUCCGGCCGGUUCCGACCCCCCCCGGCUGGUCCCGGCGGCUUUAAUGGCGGCCCCUCCCACUCGGCAGCGCUGGUUCUAAUGGGGACGUACCGAGUCCCGACCCGACCCGACCGGUUCGGUCCCGUUGUGUCCCGACCCGUCCCGUCCCGUCGCCCAACCCGGGGUCACGCAGCGGAUGGGGCGGGUGGCAGCGCGGGGCUGACCCGGUUCCACCCCACGGAACCUCCCACUGUCACAACGCGAGUGGGGCCCUACGGGGACCGGGCCCUAUUGCCCCAUAACCGCCCCAUUGCCCCAUAACCGCCCUAUUGCCCCAUAACCGCCCUAUUGCCCCAUAGCUGCACUAUUGCCCCAUAACCGCCCUAUUGCCCCAUAGCCGCCCUAUUGCCCUAUCGCCCAUAAUCACCCCACAACCACACUGUCACCCCAUAACCACACUAUGGCCCCAUAACCACAGUCACCCCAUAACCACCCUAUGGCCCCAUAACCACAGUCACCCCAUAACCACACUAUGGCCCCAUAACCACACUGUCACCCCAUAACCGCGCUAUCACUCUAUCACCCAUCAUCACCCCAUAACCACAUUAUCACCCCAUAACCACACCAUGGCCCUAUAACCACCCUAUGGCCCCAUAACCACAGUCACCCCAUAACCACACUGUUGCCCUAUCGCCCCGUGCCCCAUAACCAAACUAUCUCUCUAUAACCACACUGUUGCCCCAUAGCCACCCUAUAACCACACUACUGCCCCAUAACCGCUAUAUCGCCCCAUACCCACCCCAUACCCAAAGAACCACCAAUACCCCAUUAUCACCCCACAUCCCAUAACCACAGUCACCCCAUAACCACAACACUAUCACCCCAUACCCACCCCAUACCCCACAACCCCUCCAUUACCCCAUUACCACCCCAUACCCCAUACCCACCUCAUACCCCAUUACCACCCCAUGACCGCACUAUCACCCCAUACCCCACAACCACCCCACAACCCCUCCAUUACCA